GAACUCUUAGCGUCAUUAUCAUCUCCAUUUUAUAGGUAGGGAAACUGUGAUCUCAAAACCAAGGUUUCUACCGCCAAGAACAGUGAUUAUUUCACGAUCCAGCCCUUAACUGUGACCUGCUUUAGCGUUGAGUGCCCGACCUAUUUAUUCUGGUAUAGUGUUAAGAAUAGACACUCUGGAGCAAAAACGCUUGGGUUUAACCCUCGCUAUUUCUCUUACUAGCUGCCUUGCCGUUACCUUGAACAGGUUACUUAACCUCCUUAGGUUUCGGUUCCUCCUCUGUAAAAUCAAUUUUAUAAGAAUAGAGGAACUAAUAAACCUGAAGCACUUAGAACAUGUCUGGAAUCUUAGAAAGCAUUACACAAUAUACAUGUUAGUAUUUCUGAAGCCUCUAUGUCAAUUUUGGGGAAAAUGGGUCAAAUAUCUGAAUUGUUCAUACUGGAACACUCCCGAUAACUGAAGUCAAACAAAAGUACGUCCUUAAUUAUAUUUUCCGAUUAAUUCACAUCUCCUACUCCUUCAUGUGAGGUUGGGCGCGCGCGCUUAUGUGCAACACUGCUCUUGACUCAAUGGACCGGUUUCACCUUCCUGCUUAUUGCAACCAGUAGGGUUUUCACAGGAUGAGUGCAAUGAGCCUAUUACAUUACUUGUCUUUCCUUCCAUUUCUCCCUAAUCCGUGCUAUUACCUCUCCCUUGAACUGAAGCAGUAGCCUUCCAACUGGUCUGAGCUUUACCUCUGUUCUGUCUCCCCACUGUACUUGACUUCUAAAUCCAUGGUAACAUUUAUCAUACUUGUUUAUGGAUCUGUUUGCCUUUAAAAAUGUUGUGUUCCCAGAAGGCAGGAAUUAUAUUUUAGACAACCUUGCUAUAACUAUUUCCCAAGCUCCGAAAGUCUGCAUACUACCUACACAAUCUCUGCCAAUCUGCACCCAGGAAUUAUCAAUUAUUCCAUAUUUUUCUUUAAAGCCAAUUUUAACACAUUUAAAAAUUUUAGCCUCAUCCCAAACCAUAAAAAUCAAAUUUAUAAAGCACUCUAUUUUUAUUCUGGUGCAUUAACAUCCAUAACUAUUUUAAAAAAAAGUUUAAAUGCCCAUCCUAUAACAUUUAAAAUCAUGUCACACAAAAUCAUGGAAUAUGCAGGGGAAUGGAUGGCAUUAGAGCAGAUUAUGCUAAGUGAAGCUAGCCAAUCCUUAAAAAACAAAUGCCAAAUGUCUUCUUUGAUAUAAGGAGAGCAACUAAGAACAGAGCAGGGAGGAAGAGUAUGAGGAAAAGAUUAACAUUAAACAGAGACGAG
RNAcentral lists this long non-coding RNA (1294 nucleotides) under Marmota monax (woodchuck). The record is from RNAcentral. Lineage: Eukaryota; Metazoa; Chordata; Mammalia; Rodentia; Sciuridae.